UAGUGGCGAACGGGUGAGUAACACGUGGGCAAUCUGCCCUUCACUCUGGGACAAGCCCUGGAAACGGGGUCUAAUACCGGAUAACACUCUGUCCUGCAUGGGACGGGGUUAAAAGCUCCGGCGGUGAAGGAUGAGCCCGCGGCCUAUCAGCUUGUUGGUGGGGUAAUGGCCUACCAAGGCGACGACGGGUAGCCGGCCUGAGAGGGCGACCGGCCACACUGGGACUGAGACACGGCCCAGACUCCUACGGGAGGCAGCAGUGGGGAAUAUUGCACAAUGGGCGAAAGCCUGAUGCAGCGACGCCGCGUGAGGGAUGACGGCCUUCGGGUUGUAAACCUCUUUCAGCAGGGAAGAAGCGAAAGUGACGGUACCUGCAGAAGAAGCGCCGGCUAACUACGUGCCAGCAGCCGCGGUAAUACGUAGGGCGCAAGCGUUGUCCGGAAUUAUUGGGCGUAAAGAGCUCGUAGGCGGCUUGUCACGUCGGAUGUGAAAGCCCGGGGCUUAACCCCGGGUCUGCAUUCGAUACGGGCUAGCUAGAGUGUGGUAGGGGAGAUCGGAAUUCCUGGUGUAGCGGUGAAAUGCGCAGAUAUCAGGAGGAACACCGGUGGCGAAGGCGGAUCUCUGGGCCAUUACUGACGCUGAGGAGCGAAAGCGUGGGGAGCGAACAGGAUUAGAUACCCUGGUAGUCCACGCCGUAAACGUUGGGAACUAGGUGUUGGCGACAUUCCACGUCGUCAGUGCCGCAGCUAACGCAUUAAGUUCCCCGCCUGGGGAGUACGGCCGCAAGGCUAAAACUCAAGGAAUUGACGGGGGCC
RNAcentral lists this ribosomal RNA (815 nucleotides) under Streptomyces sp. RNAcentral describes it as "bacterial SSU rRNA". It matches the Rfam family "Bacterial small subunit ribosomal RNA", at positions 93 to 921 of the family's 1533-position model. Lineage: Bacteria; Bacillati; Actinomycetota; Actinomycetes; Kitasatosporales; Streptomycetaceae. The record is from RNAcentral.